This 772-nucleotide ribosomal RNA is filed under the name Salmonella enterica. RNAcentral describes it as "partial 23S ribosomal RNA". It matches the Rfam family "Bacterial large subunit ribosomal RNA", at positions 419 to 1190 of the family's 2925-position model. RNAcentral also lists the same sequence under 2 other names. The record is from RNAcentral. Lineage: Bacteria; Pseudomonadati; Pseudomonadota; Gammaproteobacteria; Enterobacterales; Enterobacteriaceae.
GGGACACGUGGUAUCCUGUCUGAAUAUGGGGGGACCAUCCUCCAAGGCUAAAUACUCCUGACUGACCGAUAGUGAACCAGUACCGUGAGGGAAAGGCGAAAAGAACCCCGGCGAGGGGAGUGAAAAAGAACCUGAAACCGUGUACGUACAAGCAGUGGGAGCACAGGUUUACCUGUGUGACUGCGUACCUUUUGUAUAAUGGGUCAGCGACUUAUAUUCUGUAGCAAGGUUAACCGAAUAGGGGAGCCGGAGGGAAACCGAGUCUUAAUUGGGCGUUAAGUUGCAGGGUAUAGACCCGAAACCCGGUGAUCUAGCCAUGGGCAGGUUGAAGGUUGGGUAACACUAACUGGAGGACCGAACCGACUAAUGUUGAAAAAUUAGCGGAUGACCUGUGGCUGGGGGUGAAAGGCCAAUCAAACCGGGAGAUAGCUGGUUCUCCCCGAAAGCUAUUUAGGUAGCGCCUCGUGAAUUCAUCUCCGGGGGUAGAGCACUGUUUCGGCUAGGGGGCCAUCCCGGCUUACCAACCCGAUGCAAACUGCGAAUACCGGAGAAUGUUAUCACGGGAGACACACGGCGGGUGCUAACGUCCGUCGUGAAGAGGGAAACAACCCAGACCGCCAGCUAAGGUCCCAAAGUCAUGGUUAAGUGGGAAACGAUGUGGGAAGGCCCAGACAGCCAGGAUGUUGGCUUAGAAGCAGCCAUCAUUUAAAGAAAGCGUAAUAGCUCACUGGUCGAGUCGGCCUGCGCGGAAGAUGUAACGGGGCUAAACCAU